Molecule: transfer RNA, 82 nt
Filed under: Flavobacteriales bacterium
Lineage: Bacteria; Pseudomonadati; Bacteroidota; Flavobacteriia; Flavobacteriales
Description: tRNA-Leu
Rfam family: tRNA
About the family: Transfer RNA (tRNA) molecules are approximately 80 nucleotides in length.
Source: RNAcentral
GCCUAGAUGGCGGAAUUGGUAGACGCGCACGACUCAAAAUCGUGUGUCUUCGGGCAUGUGGGUUCGAUUCCCACUCUGGGUA